This is a non-coding RNA of Octopus bimaculoides (California two-spot octopus), 107 nucleotides long. The record is from Rfam. NCBI's taxonomy places the organism in Eukaryota, Metazoa, Mollusca, Cephalopoda, Octopoda, Octopodidae.
AUAUAACUUUGGCUGUACGUAUACUAAAACUGGAACAAUAUGGAGGAGAUUAGCAUGGCCCCACUACAGGGAUGACAACGCAAAUUUGUGAAGUGUUAUCCUUGAAG